Gallus gallus (chicken) is the source of this 1802-nucleotide long non-coding RNA. RefSeq lists it as uncharacterized. Lineage: Eukaryota; Metazoa; Chordata; Aves; Galliformes; Phasianidae. The record is from RefSeq and is a predicted model, not a curated record. The transcript has 2 exons.
GCGCGCGCGGCGGCGGGCGCUGAAGAGCGGCGAGGGGCCGCGACCGCCCCGCCUCGCCGCCGCCUCAGGCGCGCACACCUCCCGGCCGACCCGCCCGGCCCGGCCCUGCGGCGCUCACCGAGUAUCGGCGGCCGAGCGCCUGGAUGGAUGCGUACGGCGAGGGCAGCGCCGCCGUUUUGUCUCUUCUCCCUUAGCAAGCAUUGAGAAAUUUCGCGCUCUGAGUCAUUUCCUCCUGCUCGCGCUGACACCGAGCACCUCGCAGCCGGCACCGCACGGCAGCUCCCCCGGCCUUCCGCUUCCACUGGCGAGGAACCCCGCAGGGGCCCACGGGCCCGCCUUGGUUGCACCAGACGGGAUCGCCACGCGUCGCAGGGUGCGCCCUGCGGCCUCCUCCAGCUGCCCUGUGCCUGACUACAGCUCUACCAGCGCUGCCCUUUCUGCUCGGGCACCCGUCAGGCAGGUCGCCAGCAGUUGCGGGCAGGGCAGUGAAUGGCAGAGACCAACCUACUGCCACGGCACCUGUACUGCGGGGAGUUUUUGAGAGGAAACCCCCGCAUGAUGUUCACAGUGUGCUUCCUUUCAUCUCUACUGAUCUUGCAGUUAAGUCUUUUCAUCCCUUGCUGUUUUCAUAAGCGUUUUCUCCCUCUGAUCUGCCUGAGAGUAGUUGCAGAAUGCUGUUCCAUUUCAGCUCUGCUGUCAGAAGUGUCAGAUUCUGCCCUGUGUGAUGUAUGGGAAUUCUCUUGUGUGGUGCUGGAGACCGGUCAUAGAAACAGCAGUAAAUCUCAUAUCCGCCACUUUCAGCCAAACGAAGAGCUUUUGAAUGACUGGAGAAAGGAAGACGGUGAGGCAACUGCAUUGUCCCAAGUUGAAUACCGACUGUCCUCAUCCUGAUUUCAGCAUGACUGCUUUGAACGCUGCCAGCUGAGAGGCAGGCCAGCUCCACGCGUUUCACAGUGAGCGGCUCUCUGUAAAAAGUUCAACACUCAUUUGGUGGUUCAAAACUACAAGGCAGUUCACCAGUCUAAAUUAAAAUUUACAGAGACUCCACAGAAGUACACAGCAAACCGACCCAAAAUUUCCAACGCUGAACGGCUCCUGGGCCUUUCUCUUCCUCGCAGCUCCCUCUGGCGGCCCCGCUGCCCGGUGGCGGGUAGGCCGGUCGCACGGCUUUCAGCGAGCUGACUUCCAGGCGUUCAGGUAAACCAGAUGCUAAUGCCGGCUCUAUCACACGCAUGCAUCUUGGAGAUAUUUCUCAAGAUCUGUUUACAACUCCCAAGUUUGGUAUCAUGAGUUUCACACAUAGUUGAGGAGGAUGCAUUAGCAUCUUAAGAAUGUGCUGAAAUUUGCUUGGAGGGGGAUCACGGUAGCUUCAGAAUCCAUGUUAGACUAAGCACGAGUUGCAUGUUUUCUGAACGAUGUUUUAAUGUGCCAAGACCAAUACUACAGAGGUAAAGCUGAGAACAAUAGGGGGCCACAAAAGCCAAAUCUCUGUUGAAAAAGACUGGAAAUGGCACACUGAUGCUGUCAGAGCUGAUAAUGGUAACAUGAAGAGUAGAAGUAACAGCCAAAGAAAGCCCGAACACGGCAGCCAGAGACAUGGAGACCAAGGGCUGGUAGCAACAUAUCCAAACGGACUGCAGGGAAACCUACAGUCAUUAUAGAGAGUGAAUUUCACAUUUUCAGUUUUAUAAUUAAGCAAACCAGAAAGGCGGCAGUUAGAAUAGCCUGAACCUUGAAAUUAGCUUGAAACUUGGCAAGGAAAUAGUUCUAAAGUAAUCAAAUAAAGCCUCACCUUGUGAUGA